UACGGAGGGUGCGAGCGUUGUCCGGAAUCACUGGGCGUAAAGGGCGCGUAGGUGGCUACUCAAGCGCGCGGUGAAAGCCCGGGGCUCAACCCCGGGUCGGCCGUGCGAACUGUCGAGCUGGAGCACUGUAGAGGCAGGUGGAAUUCCGGGUGUAGCGGUGGAAUGCGUAGAGAUCCGGAAGAACACCGGUGGCGAAGGCGGCCUGCUGGGCAGUGGCUGGACGCUGAGGCGCGACAGCGUGGGGGAGCAAACAGG
This 255-nucleotide ribosomal RNA is filed under the name uncultured bacterium. RNAcentral describes it as "partial 16S ribosomal RNA". It matches the Rfam family "Bacterial small subunit ribosomal RNA", at positions 524 to 776 of the family's 1533-position model. The record is from RNAcentral.